Molecule: ribosomal RNA, 465 nt
Filed under: uncultured bacterium
Lineage: Bacteria
Description: partial 16S ribosomal RNA
Rfam family: Bacterial small subunit ribosomal RNA
Source: RNAcentral
AGUGAACGCUGGCGGCGUGCUUAACACAUGCAAGUCGAACGAGUAGGUGCUGUAGCAAUACAGAUUACUGCUAGUGGCAGACGGGUGAGUAAUACAUGGGAAUCUACCUUGAAGUCUGGGAUAACUGUUGGAAACGACAGCUAAUACCGGAUAUUGCCGAGAGGUGAAAGUUUUUCGCUUCAAGAUGAGCCCAUGCAAGAUUAGCUAGUUGGUAGGGUAAUGGCCUACCAAGGCGAAGAUCUUUAGCUGGUCUAAGAGGAUGAUCAGCCACACUGGAACUGAGACACGGUCCAGACUCCUACGGGAGGCAGCAGUGGGGAAUAUUGGACAAUGGGCGAAAGCCUGAUCCAGCGACGCCGCGUGAGUGAUGAAGGCCUUCGGGUUGUAAAGCUCUUUCAGUAGGGAAGAUAAUGACGGUACCUACAGAAGAAGCUCCGGCUAACUUCGUGCCAGCAGCCGCGGUAA